RNAcentral lists this transfer RNA (89 nucleotides) under Kiloniella laminariae. RNAcentral's name for it is "tRNA-Leu". It matches the Rfam family "tRNA". From Rfam's summary of the family: Transfer RNA (tRNA) molecules are approximately 80 nucleotides in length. Their secondary structure includes four short double-helical elements and three loops (D, anti-codon, and T loops). Lineage: Bacteria; Pseudomonadati; Pseudomonadota; Alphaproteobacteria; Rhodospirillales; Kiloniellaceae. The record is from RNAcentral.
GCGGUCGUGGUGGAAUUGGUAGACACGCAGCGUUGAGGUCGCUGUCCUGUUAAUUCGGGGUGGAGGUUCAAGUCCUCUCGACCGCACCA